AAAGAAGAGGUAUCUUAAUCGAAGAGGGCUGGAACGCCCUACCAUAGAAGGUAAUAGUCCUGUAGGUAAAAAGAGAAAACUUCGAGAUCUAAUCCAGAGUACCACGAGACACGUGAAACCUUGUGGGAAGCAGGGAGGACCACCUCCCAAGGCUAAAUACUACCUAGUGACCGAUAGUGAAGCAGUACCGUGAGGGAAAGGUGAAAAGAAC
RNAcentral lists this ribosomal RNA (211 nucleotides) under Clostridium botulinum. Its description in RNAcentral is "partial 23S ribosomal RNA". It matches the Rfam family "Bacterial large subunit ribosomal RNA", at positions 315 to 524 of the family's 2925-position model. Lineage: Bacteria; Bacillati; Bacillota; Clostridia; Eubacteriales; Clostridiaceae. The record is from RNAcentral.